UUUUGUUAGCUUCAACUUGUGCAAUUGUGCAAUAAUGAAGCGUUAUGAUUGUUGUGGAGACAUUUAUAUUUUUAUGUUUGAAUUGCAUAGUUUAAAGGAUUGUUUGUUUUGUUGUUUUAAACUUCAUGAUUGAACUGUGCAGUUUUGCAUAGGUACAAGAUAUUAAGUUGAAGGCAUCAUCACCCUGAUUUGUAUAGUGUCAUGAGUUGUACUUCAGAAGCACUUCUUCAAGUUCUUCCUGGGGCAGGAAUUCGCUUUUUCCAUAAGGAUUUAUGCUAUGUCAAGCACAAUUUGUUGCUUUCGGACAAAUACCGAGGAGAAAGAGGAUGCAGGUCUACCCUGUUCAAGAAUUUGAGGAUUCAAAAUUGCAGUAGGAUUUAUGCAAGUUGCAGUGUAGAUAGUAUUAAUCUUAGGAAGAAACGAAAUGAAAGUUUGGAUGGUUUGACUUGCAAAUGCCAAGGGGCACAAAAUGUUGGUGAGGCAACUGCUGAGAAAGGAAAUAUAACAUGGAUAAAUAGCGUGCUGAAUGAUUUGGAUGGUCCAAAAUUUGACGUGGCUCAAUAAUUGAAAAACCUAACAAAAAGUACGAAAUUCAAAAUAUAAAGAAAUGGUUUACCGAUCGAGAAGAAUCGAUUUGGGGUUGGCUUAUUUCUAGGGCUUGGUUCUUCUGCUCCCUUCGUUCAAUAAGACUUCUGCUGAAUCGAUUUGAGAAAUUGAGAGGAAAUUUCUUCGUUCUUCUGCUGCUUCUUCGUUCUUCUGCUAUCUAGGGCUUGGUUUUUUCAAUUUCUAUCGAGGAGAGAGGACUGAGGAGCUUAAAAGAAAACACAGGAGUUAGCUUUUAAAAAAAACAUGGGAGGCUUAUUAAAUAGUUCUGUU
RNAcentral lists this long non-coding RNA (876 nucleotides) under Panax ginseng (ginseng). RNAcentral describes it as "long non-coding RNA (PGIN_LNC002120)". Lineage: Eukaryota; Viridiplantae; Streptophyta; Magnoliopsida; Apiales; Araliaceae. The record is from RNAcentral.